UUAACUUCCGGGUACAUCAACAUCUCAGAUUGCACUGUGUAGAGAGUGGUAUACAUAGAUAUAGCGUUAUCAAUCGAUUAUGUGGAGGUUUCAACGAGAUAAACAUGGGAAUUGAAGCAUUAGUGGAGUGGUCGAGGAUUCUUCGCUUCGUGCUUGACGAAUUACGUAUUAACCGCCAGUGUACAAGCAUCGACGAGGCCGGGUACGUCUUGCAGAAAGAGCAGAUAUAAGAAGGCAAAUAAAACUGUUCAAUGUAAAAUACGCCAGUAGUUGGAUAAAACAUCCAAAGUCGACACAGUCAAAGUUCACAACAACAAUGAAGGAAUUAACUGCAUCCUCAUUCCGCAGGGCAACAGGCCAUUUUCAGCAACCCCUGAAAUUCUUAAUUUAGGCUAAGUGCCCAUUUUCAGCUCGAACAAUGACAAUUAAAGAGGCCUGUGCAAAUGUUGGGAUUUCCCUCUUGAAAAAGUGAUGCAAGGGAUGGUUCGCUGCACCUCAAAACAAAAUAUGAAUAUUGGCAUCAAAUUCAAGGACAACACCUGAAAGACACCCAAUGCUGUGAUUUGCUAGUGUGGAUUCCUAGUGACACUCAAAUAA
Long non-coding RNA from Ostrea edulis (European flat oyster), 597 nucleotides. RefSeq lists it as uncharacterized. The transcript is spliced from 3 exons. NCBI's taxonomy places the organism in Eukaryota, Metazoa, Mollusca, Bivalvia, Ostreida, Ostreidae. The record is from RefSeq and is a predicted model, not a curated record.